Molecule: ribosomal RNA, 468 nt
Filed under: uncultured bacterium
Lineage: Bacteria
Description: partial 16S ribosomal RNA
Rfam family: Bacterial small subunit ribosomal RNA
Source: RNAcentral
GACGAACGCUGGCGGCGUGCUUAACACAUGCAAGUCGAACGGACAGGCCCUGAUCUUGUGGGGUGCAUGUGAGGCGAACGGGUGAGAGUAACGCGAGGAACCCGUACUUGUAAUUCGGAUAACACUAGGAAAAUGCGGCUAAUACCGGGUAGGAGAUCCUGCUGCACGGUGGGGGUUGGUAAGUGUCGGCGGUGGGGGAUGGAAUAGCGGGUUAUCCGCUUGUUGGUGGAGUAGUGGAUUACCAAGUCUUUGAAGGGUAGGCGGCCUGAGAGGGGGACCAGCCACAUUGCGCCUGAGGGACGGCCCAGAAUCGUACGGGAGGCAACAGGCGGGAAUAUGACACAAUGGGCGGGAGCCUGAGGCAGCAACGCCGCGAGCGUGAUGACGUGCUACUGGUGGUAAACCGCUGUCGCCGGUGACGAAGCGUUAGUGACGGUAAUUGGUAAAGAAGCACCGGCUAACUACGUG